Molecule: non-coding RNA, 1515 nt
Organism: Equus caballus (horse)
Lineage: Eukaryota; Metazoa; Chordata; Mammalia; Perissodactyla; Equidae
Source: RefSeq, a predicted model, not a curated record
CUUUGUUCUGUCCCAUCCAGUCUGCCACUGAGCCCAUCCACUGAAGUUUUUAUUUUGGUUACUAUCUAGGUUCAAAAUUUUCCACUUGGUUCUUCUUUAAAUCUUCUACUUCUCUGAGGAGACUUUCUAUUUCUUUGCUGACAUAUUCUAUUUUUUUCAUUUGUUUCAAGUGUGUUCAUAAUUGUUCGUUAAAGUAUUUUUAUGACAACUGCUUUAAAAUAUUUGUCAGAUAAUUCUAAAACCUAUCAUUCUCAGUGUUGCCAACUACUGUCUUUUCUCAUUUGAGAUUUUCCUCGUUCUUGGUGUGAUGAGUAACUUUCAGUUGAAAUCUGGAUAUUUGGGGUAUUAUGUUAUGAGGUUCUGGAUCUCACCAAACCUUUUGUUUUAGCAGGCUUCUUCUGACGCCACUCUAGCAGAGAAAGAGCGAGGUACUACUUCAUCACCGUCAGGUGGAGACAGAAGUCCAGGUAUCGAGUGGUGGUUCAUCCUUUGACAUGGAGAAUCCCAUUUCCUUGGACCCAAUUUUGAAGAUUUGCUUGAAUGUUACCCCAGAAUAAUUACAGCGGCUUUACAUGACAGUCAAACUCAACUUUAAGCAUUUGGCUCCAAGAGAAAAAGAGCCAUCCUACUCUGCAUGAAUGAGCAAAUAUACCCUGGAGUGAGCAGGAGAUGGGGAACCAUGACCCUGGAGUGGGAAUGAGAUGGAAAACUACUGUCUUGGUCGGUCAUAUUCUUUUUUUCACACGUUAGCAUUUCACCAAGCUGAGAAUAAAUAUAAGACAAAGAUAAUACAAUUUCUGUACAAUGUGACCCUUAAUAAAAACUAACUACUUCAUCUGGUACUCAAGUGAAGAAGCACUGAUCUGAAGAAUGCCAGUAUCUACUACAAAACAGGUAUGACUUAUUCAGGAACCACCCAUAUCUUUCUCUUCUAGAUCCUUAAUUUUUCUUACACUUUCCAUCAUUCUGCAAAUAAGGAUGCUCUAAAAGGGAGUGAAUGUCUUUUUCUUUACAAUUUUCUGCUGUUCACCUUAAAAAAAUACACACACACACAUAUAUAUAGCCUACAGAUUUUUAAACAAUUCAUCCAGUUAAAUGUCAUUUCCUUGGUUAAGGCAUAAAGGAACCAAGAUUCUGGUUUAUACUGCAAGUUUAGAAAACUAUACUAAAUGGCUAUGCUGGGAGGGAUAAAAGUUAGCAAUCAAAGUGACUUGAUUUUCCUACACAACUUCCCCUGUGAUUUCCAAGUUAAAAAGAAAAACAGAACCGGCUCAAUACUUCUGAUAGCAAGUUUAAGCCAUCUAAAUCAUAGAAAGUGGAAAAGUGCUACAGUUUAUUCCAUACAGUACUGAGCAAGUCCUAGCAUAAUCCCAUACACACAGUAUAUGCUCAACUGAUACUUGUUAAAUGAGUGUAUUUGCUGUUAUCGGUUAAAUGAAAACUCUAAGAUAAUACUGCUUUUAUCAAGAUUUACUCUGUAUAAAAAUUUGAAAAUACAAAUAAAUUCCUUAACAA